RNAcentral lists this ribosomal RNA (863 nucleotides) under Bacillus pumilus. RNAcentral describes it as "bacterial SSU rRNA". It matches the Rfam family "Bacterial small subunit ribosomal RNA", at positions 59 to 905 of the family's 1533-position model. The record is from RNAcentral. Lineage: Bacteria; Bacillati; Bacillota; Bacilli; Caryophanales; Bacillaceae.
CAGUCGAGCGGACAGAAGGGAGCUUGCUCCCGGAUGUUAGCGGCGGACGGGUGAGUAACACGUGGGUAACCUGCCUGUAAGACUGGGAUAACUCCGGGAAACCGGAGCUAAUACCGGAUAGUUCCUUGAACCGCAUGGUUCAAGGAUGAAAGACGGUUUCGGCUGUCACUUACAGAUGGACCCGCGGCGCAUUAGCUAGUUGGUGGGGUAAUGGCUCACCAAGGCGACGAUGCGUAGCCGACCUGAGAGGGUGAUCGGCCACACUGGGACUGAGACACGGCCCAGACUCCUACGGGAGGCAGCAGUAGGGAAUCUUCCGCAAUGGACGAAAGUCUGACGGAGCAACGCCGCGUGAGUGAUGAAGGUUUUCGGAUCGUAAAGCUCUGUUGUUAGGGAAGAACAAGUGCGAGAGUAACUGCUCGCACCUUGACGGUACCUAACCAGAAAGCCACGGCUAACUACGUGCCAGCAGCCGCGGUAAUACGUAGGUGGCAAGCGUUGUCCGGAAUUAUUGGGCGUAAAGGGCUCGCAGGCGGUUUCUUAAGUCUGAUGUGAAAGCCCCCGGCUCAACCGGGGAGGGUCAUUGGAAACUGGGAAACUUGAGUGCAGAAGAGGAGAGUGGAAUUCCACGUGUAGCGGUGAAAUGCGUAGAGAUGUGGAGGAACACCAGUGGCGAAGGCGACUCUCUGGUCUGUAACUGACGCUGAGGAGCGAAAGCGUGGGGAGCGAACAGGAUUAGAUACCCUGGUAGUCCACGCCGUAAACGAUGAGUGCUAAGUGUUAGGGGUUUCCGCCCCUUAGUGCUGCAGCUAACGCAUUAAGCACUCCGCCUGGGGAGUACGGUCGCAAGACUGAAACUCAAA